This 689-nucleotide unclassified non-coding RNA is filed under the name Hevea brasiliensis (rubber tree). Lineage: Eukaryota; Viridiplantae; Streptophyta; Magnoliopsida; Malpighiales; Euphorbiaceae. The record is from RNAcentral.
CAUGAUUAGAUACUUAGAAGAGCUUGAGGCAAGAGUGGAAGAAUUGGAAUCUUGCAAAAACUUGGUGGAGUAUACAGCAAGACCCAGAAGGAGUGAAUUGGAAAUGGCAGAGAAGACAUCAGAUAACUAUGAAAACAUGAAGUUUGAAAAUGGCAAGAAGGUUUGGAUAAAAAAGAGGAAGGCCAGUUUCAUUUAUGAAACUGAACCAGAGCUUAAUGUAAUGGUAACCGAGGAUGUCUUGCCCACGGAUGUGAAGGUCAGCAUGAGGGAGAAGGAGGUUCUAAUUGAGAUGAAAUGUGCUUACAGGGAAUACAUAUUGCUUGACAUUAUGGAUGAAAUCAACAAUCUUCACUUGGAUGUGCACUCAGUUCAGUCAUCUAGUAUUGAUGGCAUUCUCACAGCGAGCCUAAAGUCUAAGUUUCGAGGGGCAGCAGUUGCAUCUGCAGGGAUGAUCAAACAAGCACUUUGGAAGGUUGGCAGUAAUUAAGAGUUGAAGGGUGUUAUAUUUCAACUUAUCCCUGUUCAUUUGAUAAAUUGGCUUCUAGUUCUAGAUAGUUGUGUAAUUUGUAGCUGUAGCUACUUAAACUUGAAACUGCUUCCUAAAUGCUUUCUUUGUCAAUUGUUUGGAGACAUUGAAAUGAAGUUUAUAAUCUUCAUGGCCCAAACAAUUGACAAAGAAAGCAUUUAGG